CUCCAGUGAUGACCUUCAAUUAGUUACACGUGUCUUGGCCACUGAUGUAAGUGAUGGGAUUGAGGAACUGAGGAG
Molecule: small nucleolar RNA, 75 nt
Organism: Scomber scombrus (Atlantic mackerel)
Lineage: Eukaryota; Metazoa; Chordata; Actinopteri; Scombriformes; Scombridae
Product: small nucleolar RNA SNORD66
Exons: 1
Source: RefSeq, a predicted model, not a curated record